RNAcentral lists this ribosomal RNA (492 nucleotides) under uncultured bacterium. RNAcentral's name for it is "partial 16S ribosomal RNA". It matches the Rfam family "Bacterial small subunit ribosomal RNA", at positions 30 to 507 of the family's 1533-position model. The record is from RNAcentral.
AUUGAACGCUGGCGGCAUGCUUUACACAUGCAAGUCGAACGGUAACAGGCCUUCGGGUGCUGACGAGUGGCGAACGGGUGAGUAAUGCAUCGGAACGUGCCCAGAGGUGGGGGAUAACGCAGCGAAAGCUGUGCUAAUACCGCAUGUGAUCUGAGGAUGAAAGCGGGGGACCAGGCAGCAAUGUUUGGCCUCGCGCCUUUGGAGCGGCCGAUGUCAGAUUAGGUAGUUGGUGGGGUAAAGGCCUACCAAGCCGACGAUCUGUAGCUGGUCUGAGAGGACGACCAGCCACACUGGGACUGAGACACGGCCCAGACUCCUACGGGAGGCAGCAGUGGGGAAUUUUGGACAAUGGGCGCAAGCCUGAUCCAGCAAUGCCGCGUGCGGGAAGAAGGCCUUCGGGUUGUAAACCGCUUUUGUACGGAACGAAAAGGCUCUGGCUAAUACCUGGGGAUGAUGACGGUACCGUAAGAAUAAGCACCGGCUAACUACGUG